AUUGAACGCUGGCGGCACGCCUAACACAUGCAAGUCGAGCGGUAGCAUGAUCUGUAGCAAUACAGAUUGAUGACGAGCGGCGGACGGGUGAGGAACACGUAGGAACUUGCCCAAUAGAGGGGGAUAACUAAGGGAAACUUUAGCUAAUACCGCAUAUUCUCGAGAGAGGAAAGCUGCCCGCAAGGGUGGCGCUAUUGGAGAGGCCUGCGUCCGAUUAGCUAGUUGGUGAGGUAAAGGCUCACCAAGGCGAUGAUCGGUAACUGGUCUUAGAGGACGACCAGUCACACUGGGACUGAGACACGGCCCAGACUCCUACGGGAGGCAGCAGUGGGGAAUCUUGGACAAUGGGGGCAACCCUGAUCCAGCGAUGCCGCGUGAGUGAAGAAGGCCUUCGGGUCGUAAAGCUCUUUAGGUUGGGAGGAAGGCUAGUAUUUUAAGAGAUGACUAGUUUGACUGUACCGACAGAAUAAGCACCGGCAAACUCUGUGCCAGCAGCCGCCGUAA
Molecule: ribosomal RNA, 504 nt
Filed under: uncultured bacterium
Lineage: Bacteria
Description: partial 16S ribosomal RNA
Rfam family: Bacterial small subunit ribosomal RNA
Source: RNAcentral